Molecule: long non-coding RNA, 335 nt
Filed under: Hordeum vulgare
Lineage: Eukaryota; Viridiplantae; Streptophyta; Magnoliopsida; Poales; Poaceae
Description: long non-coding RNA (HVUL_LNC007470)
Source: RNAcentral
UCUAGCAACGAGAAAGGAAAAAGCUUCAAUUUAAUCACAUAAUUAUCCACAUAUUUCUUCUUCUGCAUAUCGUAAAGCUCAAUGAAGGUAUUGAGAUGGGAUGCGGCAUCUUCACUAGGAAGGCCGGAGAAUUGCUCUUUCAUAACAAGAUUCAGCAAAGCGGCAUUGAUUUCGUAUGAGUCCGCACUAGUGGCGGGAGCAAUCGGAGUACUAAUAAAAUCAUUAUUAUUAGUAUUCGAGAAGUCACAAAGUUUGGUGUUUUCAGUCAUGGUGACUUCGGCAAGCAAGCAAGCACAAAGCGAACAAAGAGCAAGCGAGAAAAAGGGCGAACGAAA